CCAUCCAACUAUGAGGUCAUAGACAGACACAUGAGACAGAACAAGGUCUUCACAGUACUGUAGUGACUUUGGAACCUCCUGCUAGUGGACGCCCAUGGCACCCUACCAUAUCUGUUUUCAGGAGCUUUGGGUUUCAGGCUGCAUCUAAGAGUUCCAUUGAUGCCAGUUUGGGAAUUAAGGAUAAAAUGAUUGUCUUUAGGUCAGCUGACCAAUGCUUAGAAGCCCUCAGUGGAAUCUGA
This 239-nucleotide long non-coding RNA is filed under the name Pogona vitticeps (central bearded dragon). RNAcentral's name for it is "lncRNA (ENSPVIG00000016048.1)". Lineage: Eukaryota; Metazoa; Chordata; Lepidosauria; Squamata; Agamidae. The record is from RNAcentral.